AUUGAACGCUGGCGGAAUGCUUUACACAUGCAAGUCGAACGGCAGCACGGACUUCGGUCUGGUGGCGAGUGGCGAACGGGUGAGUAAUGUAUCGGAACGUGCCCAGUCGUGGGGGAUAACGUAGUGAAAAUUACGCUAAUACCGCAUACGAUCUAUGGAUGAAAGCGGGGGAUCGCAAGACCUCGCGCGAUUGGAGCGGCCGAUAUCAGAUUAGGUAGUUGGUGGGGUAAAGGCCCACCAAGCCAACGAUCUGUAGCUGGUCUGAGAGGACGACCAGCCACACUGGAACUGAGACACGGUCCAGACGCCUACGGGAGGCAGCAGUGGGGAAUGUUGGACAAGGGGCGAAAGCCUGAUCCAGCCAUUCCGCGUGCAGGAUGAAGGCCCUCGGGUUGUAAACUGCUUUUGUACAGAACGAAAAGGUUUCUACUAAUACUAGGAGCUCAUGACGGUACUGUAAGAAUAAGCACCGGCUAACUACGUGCCAGCAGCCGCAGUAA
RNAcentral lists this ribosomal RNA (500 nucleotides) under uncultured bacterium. RNAcentral describes it as "partial 16S ribosomal RNA". It matches the Rfam family "Bacterial small subunit ribosomal RNA", at positions 30 to 523 of the family's 1533-position model. The record is from RNAcentral.